UAGCUCAGCUGGGAGAGCGCCUGCUUUGCACGCAGGAGGUCUGCGGUUCGAUCCCGCAN
RNAcentral lists this transfer RNA (59 nucleotides) under Salmonella enterica subsp. enterica serovar Enteritidis str. EC20121180. RNAcentral's name for it is "tRNA-Ala (TGC) (tRNA-Ala-TGC-2-1)". It matches the Rfam family "tRNA", at positions 8 to 63 of the family's 71-position model. From Rfam's summary of the family: Transfer RNA (tRNA) molecules are approximately 80 nucleotides in length. Their secondary structure includes four short double-helical elements and three loops (D, anti-codon, and T loops). Further hydrogen bonds mediate the characteristic L-shaped molecular structure. tRNAs have two regions of fundamental functional importance: the anti-codon, which is responsible for specific mRNA codon recognition, and the 3' end, to which the tRNAs corresponding amino acid is attached (by aminoacyl-tRNA synthetases). tRNAs cope with the degeneracy of the genetic code in two manners: having more than one tRNA (with a specific anti-codon) for a particular amino acid; and 'wobble' base-pairing, i.e. permitting non-standard base-pairing at the 3rd anti-codon position. The record is from RNAcentral. Lineage: Bacteria; Pseudomonadati; Pseudomonadota; Gammaproteobacteria; Enterobacterales; Enterobacteriaceae.